This 227-nucleotide ribosomal RNA is filed under the name uncultured bacterium. RNAcentral's name for it is "partial 16S ribosomal RNA". It matches the Rfam family "Bacterial small subunit ribosomal RNA", at positions 109 to 334 of the family's 1533-position model. The record is from RNAcentral.
AGUAACGCGUGAGGAACCUGCCUCAAAGAGGGGGACAACAGUUGGAAACGACUGCUAAUACCGCAUAAGCCCACAGCUCGGCAUCGAGCAGAGGGAAAAGGAGUGAUCCGCUUUGAGAUGGCCUCGCGUCCGAUUAGCUAGUUGGUGAGGUAACGGCCCACCAAGGCGACGAUCGGUAGCCGGUCUGAGAGGAUGAACGGCCACAUUGGGACUGAGACACGGCCCAG